RNAcentral lists this long non-coding RNA (1029 nucleotides) under Oryctolagus cuniculus (rabbit). Its description in RNAcentral is "lncRNA (ENSOCUG00000035901.1)". The record is from RNAcentral. Lineage: Eukaryota; Metazoa; Chordata; Mammalia; Lagomorpha; Leporidae.
AUGCACACCCUCUAUAUAUACAUGAACACACACAUUCCACACACAUACCCUACACACACAUACCCUCUACACACACAUGCACACCCUACACACACACACCCCACACACAUGCACGCCUUUCACACACACACACAUACCCUCUACACACACAUGCACACACUACACACACCCCACACACAUGCACUCCCUCCAUAUACACACACACAUACCCUACACACACAUACCCUCUACACACACAAGCACACCCUCCACACACACAACCCCUCUCUACACAUACAUCCUACACACACACACAUGCACACCCUCCACACACACACUGUACACACACGUACAUGUACACCCCAUACACACACAUGCACUCCCUCCAUAUACACACGCACACCCUCCAUACACACAACCCCUCUCUACACAUACACCCUCCACACACACACGCACACCUUCCACACACAUGCACACCCUCCAUAUGCACAUGCACACACACACCCCACACACAUGCACGCCUUUCACACACACACACAUACCCUCUACACACACAUGCACACCCUACACACACACAACCCAACCCACACACAUGCACACCUUUCACACACACACACACCCUACACACACAUACCCUCUACACAUACACGCACACCCUCCACACACACAACCCCUCUCUACACAUACAUCCUACACACACACAUGCACACCCUCCACAUACACACACACUGUACACACACGUACAUGUAUACCCCAUACACACACAUGCACUCCCUCCAUAUACACAUGCACACCCUCACAUACACACACUGUCCAUACACAUGUAUACACACUACACACACACACACACACCCUUCAUACAUACCCUCUGCCUACACACACCCUUUAAUACACAUGCAAAUGAAUACAGACAUGCACAUGCACACAUGCAGCCCUCCAUACACAUACCCCUGCACACACAUGCACACACACUCCCUGCAUACAUGCACACACGCAACCCUUGAAACACUCAUCCUCAGUACACACGCACGUGCACACAUGCACCCUUGA